UUGACCUCAAAUCAGGUAGGACUACCCGCUGAACUUAAGCAUAUCAAUAAGCGGAGGAAAAGAAACUAACAAGGAUUCCCCUAGUAACUGCGAGUGAAGCGGGAAAAGCUCAAAUUUAAAAUCUGGUAGUCUUUGGCUGCCCGAGUUGUAAUCUAGAGAAGCAUUAUCUGCGCUGGACUGUGUAUAAGUGUCCUGGAAUAGACCAUCAUAGAGGGUGACAAUCCCGUCUUUGACACAGACUCCCAGUGCUUUGUGAUGUGCUCUCAAAGAGUCGAGUUGUUUGGGAAUGCAGCUCUAAAUGGGUGGUAAGUUCCAUCUAAAGCUAAAUAUUGGCGAGAGACCGAUAGCGAACAAGUACC
This 359-nucleotide ribosomal RNA is filed under the name Termitomyces sp. Group5. Its description in RNAcentral is "eukaryotic LSU rRNA". It matches the Rfam family "Eukaryotic large subunit ribosomal RNA", at positions 1 to 352 of the family's 3401-position model. The record is from RNAcentral. Lineage: Eukaryota; Fungi; Basidiomycota; Agaricomycetes; Agaricales; Lyophyllaceae.